GAGUUUGAUCCUGGCUCAGAACGAACGCUGGCGGCAGGCCUAACACAUGCAAGUCGAGCGCACCUUCGGGUGAGCGGCGGACGGGUUAGUAACGCGUGGGAAUAUACCCUUUGGUACGGAAUAGCCUCUGGAAACGGAGAGUAAUACCGUAUGAGCCCUUCGGGGGAAAGAUUUAUCGCCAAAGGAUUAGCCCGCGUUAGAUUAGGUAGUUGGUGGGGUAAUGGCCUACCAAGCCUACGAUCUAUAGCUGGUUUUAGAGGAUGAUCAGCAACACUGGGACUGAGACACGGCCCAGACUCCUACGGGAGGCAGCAGUGGGGAAUCUUGGACAAUGGGCGCAAGCCUGAUCCAGCCAUGCCGCGUGAGUGAUGAAGGCCUUAGGGUCGUAAAGCUCUUUCGCCUGUGAGGAUAAUGACGGUAGCAGGUAAAGAAACCCCGGCUAACUCCGUGCCAGCAGCCGCGGUAAUACGGAGGGGGUUAGCGUUGUUCGGAAUUACUGGGCGUAAAGCGCACGUAGGCGGACUGGAAAGUUGGGGGUGAAAUCCCAGGGCUCAACCCUGGAACUGCCUCCAGAACUAUCAGUCUAGAGUUCGAGAGAGGUGAGUGGAAUUCCGAGUGUAGAGGUGAGAUUCGUAGAUAUUCGGAGGAACACCAGUGGCGAAGGCGGCUCACUGGCUCGAUACUGACGCUGAGGUGCGAAAGUGUGGGGAGCAAACAGGAUUAGAUACCCUGGUAGUCCACACCGUAAACGAUGAAUGCCAGUCGUCGGGUAGCAUGCUAUUCGGUGACACACCUAACGGAUUAGGCAUUCCGCCUGGGGAGUACGGUCGCAAGAUUAAAACUCAAAGGAAUUGACGGGGGCUCGCACAAGCGGUGGAGCAUGUGGUUUAAUUCGAAGCAACGCGCAGAACCUUACCAACCCUUGACAUCCUAGGACCGGCCCAGAGAUGGGUCUUUCACUUCGGUGACCUAGUGACAGGUGCUGCAUGGCUGUCGUCAGCUCGUGUCGUGAGAUGUUCGGUUAAGUCCGGCAACGAGCGCAACCCACAUCCUUAGUUGCCAGCAGUUCGGCUGGGCACUCUAGGGAAACUGCCCGUGAUAAGCGGGAGGAAGGUGUGGAUGACGUCAAGUCCUCAUGGCCCUUACGGGUUGGGCUACACACGUGCUACAAUGGCAGUGACAAUGGGUUAAUCCCAAAAAACUGUCUCAGUUCGGAUUGGGGUCUGCAACUCGACCCCAUGAAGUCGGAAUCGCUAGUAAUCGCGUAACAGCAUGACGCGGUGAAUACGUUCCCGGGCCUUGUACACACCGCCCGUCACACCAUGGGAGUUGGUUCUACCCGACGGCCGUGCGCCAACCCUUCGAGGAGGCAGCGGAUCACGGUAGGACCAGCGACUGGGGUGAAGUCGUAACAAGGUAGCCGUAGGGGAACCUGCGGCUGGAUCACUCCUUUCU
This 1455-nucleotide ribosomal RNA is filed under the name uncultured bacterium. Its description in RNAcentral is "bacterial SSU rRNA". It matches the Rfam family "Bacterial small subunit ribosomal RNA". The record is from RNAcentral.